GUUUGAUCCUGGCUCAGAAUGAACGCUGGCGGCGUGCUUAACACAUGCAAGUCGCACGAGAACUCUUUAGCUUGCUAAAGAUAGUAAAGUGGCGCACGGGUGAGUAACGCGUGGGCAAUCUACCUCCGAAUUGGGGAUAACAUUGCGAAAGUGAUGCUAAUACCGGAUAAUAUCCCGAGAACUUAGGUUUUUGGGAUCAAAGGUGGCCUCUACAUGAAAGCUACUGUUUGGAGAUGAGCCCGCGUACCAUUAGCUUGUUGGUAGGGUAAUGGCCUACCAAGGCAACGAUGGUUAGCUGGUCUGAGAGGAUGAUCAGCCACACUGGAACUGACACACGGUCCAGACUCCUACGGGAGGCAGCAGUGAGGAAUUUUGCGCAAUGGGGGAAACCCUGACGCAGCAACGCCGCGUGAGUGAUGAAGGCUUUCGGGUCGUAAAGCUCUGUCAAGUGAGAAGAAUCUACUUUUUGUUAAUAUCAUUAAGUACUGACGGUAUCACUGAAGGAAGCACCGGCUAACUCCGUGCCAGCAGCCGCGGUAAUACGGGGGGUGCAAGCGUUAUUCGGAAUUAUUGGGCGUAAAGGGCGCGUAGGCGGUCUUUUAAGUCAGAUGUGAAAGCCCGGGGCUUAACCCUGGAAGUGCAUUUGAAACUGAAGGACUUGAGUAUGGGAGAGGGAAGUGGAAUUCCUGGUGUAGAGGUGAAAUUCGUAGAUAUCAGGAGGAACACCGGUGGCGAAGGCGACUUCCUGGACCAAUACUGACGCUGAGGCGCGAAGGCGUGGGGAGCAAACAGGAUUAGAUACCCUGGUAGUCCACGCAGUAAACGAUGAACACUAGGUGUAGCGGGUAUUGACCCCUGCUGUGCCGCAGUUAACGCAUUAAGUGUUCCGCCUGGGGAGUACGACCGCAAGGUUAAAACUCAAAGGAAUUGACAGGGGCCCGCACAAGCGGUGGAGCAUGUGGUUUAAUUCGACGCAACGCGAAGAACCUUACCUGGAUUUGACAUCCCGAGAAGUCUUUUUGAAAGAAAGAUGUGCCCUUCGGGGAACUCGGA
This 1053-nucleotide ribosomal RNA is filed under the name uncultured bacterium. Its description in RNAcentral is "bacterial SSU rRNA". It matches the Rfam family "Bacterial small subunit ribosomal RNA", at positions 11 to 1032 of the family's 1533-position model. The record is from RNAcentral.